UUAAUUGAAGAGUUUGAUCAUGGCUCAGAUUGAACGCUGGCGGCAGGCCUAACACAUGCAAGUCGAGCGGCAGCACAGAGGAACUUGUUCCUUGGGUGGCGAGCGGCGGACGGGUGAGUAAUGCCUGGGAAAUUGCCCGGUAGAGGGGGGAUAACCAUUGGAAACGAUGGCUAAUACCGCAUAACCUCGCAAGAGCAAAGCAGGGGACCUUCGGGCCUUGCGCUACCGGAUAUGCCCAGGUGGGAUUAGCUAGUUGGUGAGGUAAGGGCU
This 270-nucleotide ribosomal RNA is filed under the name Vibrio cholerae O1 biovar El Tor str. N16961. RNAcentral's name for it is "partial 16S ribosomal RNA". It matches the Rfam family "Bacterial small subunit ribosomal RNA", at positions 1 to 265 of the family's 1533-position model. The record is from RNAcentral. Lineage: Bacteria; Pseudomonadati; Pseudomonadota; Gammaproteobacteria; Vibrionales; Vibrionaceae.